RNAcentral lists this transfer RNA (75 nucleotides) under Pyrinomonadaceae bacterium. RNAcentral's name for it is "tRNA-Arg". It matches the Rfam family "tRNA". Rfam says of the family: Transfer RNA (tRNA) molecules are approximately 80 nucleotides in length. Their secondary structure includes four short double-helical elements and three loops (D, anti-codon, and T loops). Lineage: Bacteria; Pseudomonadati; Acidobacteriota; Blastocatellia; Blastocatellales; Pyrinomonadaceae. The record is from RNAcentral.
GGCUUCGUAGCUCAAUGGAAUUAGAGCGCAGGUCUUCUAAACCUGAAGUUGUGCGUUCGAGUCGCACCGAAGCCU